GGGCGGCGCAGCCUACACAUGCAAGUCGAACGGUAACAGGAAGCAGCUUGCUGCUUUGCUGACGAGUGGCGGACGGGUGAGUAAUGUCUGGGAAACUGCCUGAUGGAGGGGGAUAACUACUGGAAACGGUAGCUAAUACCGCAUAACGUCGCAAGACCAAAGAGGGGGACCUUCGGGCCUCUUGCCAUCGGAUGUGCCCAGAUGGGAUUAGCUUGUUGGUGGGGUAACGGCUCACCAAGGCGACGAUCCCUAGCUGGUCUGAGAGGAUGACCAGCCACACUGGAACUGAGACACGGUCCAGACUCCUACGGGAGGCAGCAGUGGGGAAUAUUGCACAAUGGGCGCAAGCCUGAUGCAGCCAUGCCGCGUGUAUGAAGAAGGCCUUCGGGUUGUAAAGUACUUUCAGCGGGGAGGAAGGGAGUAAAGUUAAUACCUUUGCUCAUUGACGUUACCCGCAGAAGAAGCACCGGCUAACUCCGUGCCAGCAGCCGCGGUAAUACGGAGGGUGCAAGCGUUAAUCGGAAUUACUGGGCGUAAAGCGCACGCAGGCGGUUUGUUAAGUCAGAUGUGAAAUCCCCGGGCUCAACCUGGGAACUGCAUCUGAUACUGGCAAGCUUGAGUCUCGUAGAGGGGGGUAGAAUUCCAGGUGUAGCGGUGAAAUGCGUAGAGAUCUGGAGGAAUACCGGUGGCGAAGGCGGCCCCCUGGACGAAGACUGACGCUCAGGUGCGAAAGCGUGGGGAGCAAACAGGAUUAGAUACCCUGGUAGUCCACGCCGUAAACGAUGUCGACUUGGAGGUUGUGCCCUUGAGGCGUGGCUUCCGGAGCUAACGCGUUAAGUCGACCGCCUGGGGAGUACGGCCGCAAGGUUAAACUCAAAUGAAUUGACGGGGGCCCGCACAGCGGUGGAGCAUGUGGUUUAAUUCGAUGCACGCGAAGACCUUACCUGGUCUUGACUCCACGAACUUUCCAAGAUGGAUUGGUGCUUCGGAACUGUGAACAGUGCUGCUGCUGCCUCACUCGGGUUGGAAUGUGGGUAGUCCGCACGAGGCACCCUUUCUUUGUGCACGGUCGGCGGAA
Molecule: ribosomal RNA, 1078 nt
Filed under: Escherichia coli
Lineage: Bacteria; Pseudomonadati; Pseudomonadota; Gammaproteobacteria; Enterobacterales; Enterobacteriaceae
Description: bacterial SSU rRNA
Rfam family: Bacterial small subunit ribosomal RNA
Source: RNAcentral